GCGGCCGAGGAGAUCUGGCGGCACGGGCAAGGAGGCGCCCCGCGCAAGCUCGGAGGCGGGCGGCGUUGGCAGGGAGGCGCCCCGCGGGGCCUCGCAGGCGGGCGGCGCUGGCAGGGAUCCACCCCGCACAGGGGACACGGGAUCCGCCGCCGCCAGAACAGAGGUGCCCCGCGCGGCCGAGGAGGCACCCGGGGACGCGGCCGGCGCGCCCAAGGCAGGUCGACACGUGGCCAAGCUGAGGGGUAGCAUGGCAUCGCUGGUGAGGCGGCCGGCCAAGCAGGCGCCAGUCAAGCAGGGCCCACCCAAGCAGUGGAGCCAGCCAGCCACGCAGCCAGCGCAGCCAAAGAGACAGGGAUGGAUUCAGCUAGUUGUUAUCUAUUGAAAAUUCAUUUGCUUGGCAAUCACAAAAAGGCUAGAAAGGAUGUCAAAUGUUUUACUUUCAAGAUGGUUGUUGAUUCAGAUUUGUCGAAUUAUAAGGAUUUCAUAGAAUCAGUUACAGGCAAGUACCCUGUAGAUUACUUGGAAGUUGCACAUGUCCAGUACUAUGAUAUUGUUCUUAAGAAUUUUUCAGAAGUAAAAUCAAACCAUGAUUUGAUGUCUAUGUUUGAUAUACACUGUAAGGAGAAAGUUGUGCAGAUGUUCGUCUCUUAUUGUGAUCCCUCUAAGACAUUUGAGCCUAUCACUGAGUGGGAGUUUGUUGGUGAAGGGCAGCCUGAAAACACAGUGUAGAAUGAGGAUGAUUACCCAGAGGAUGAACGUGUUGGUGUUCACGAGGAGACCAUGUACUUGACAUUGCCCCUGGAUGUUCUGAGAAAGGGAAGGAAAUUGUACCAGUGGAGACUAAUCCUACAGAGGCUGAGGAUGACUCAGAAGAUGAGUUUGAGGAUAACUCAGAGGAUGACUCAGAGGAAGAGGCAUAUGAAGAAGUAAAUCCGCACCAAUUCUUGAUUUUGAUCAAGAAGAUCCUCCUAUGGAAGUAUGCAGUACUUAUCGUGACAUGUCAGAAUUCAAGUUAGCUCUUUGUCAACAUGCAAUCAAACAUGAGUUUGAAUUUAAGACCAAAAAAAGUUCAAGAAGGAGGUUCUGAGCCUAUUGUGCAAGGAAAUUGGAGGAUAAUUGUCCAUGGAGGCUUCAUGCAUCUACAACAGUGGACAAGUGGUGAAGAGGAAUAAUUUUUCUCAUGCUUGUUCUAGCAGUAGAAGGAAAAAAGACCGUACGAAAUGCUGCCAAACAUUGGAUAUGUUGGAAGAUGAAGGAUUUUCUGAUACAAGAGCCUACUUUGGGAGCAAGAGCUUUGCAAAAGAAACUUAAAGAGCACCACAAGGUGAGCAUUCCCUAUCACAGGGUAUAUAAGGGUCAACAACUUGCAUUGAAACGACUUUAUGGUGAUUGGGACAGCAGCUUCGAUAACUUGUUUAGUUUGAAAGCAGAAAUUGAGAGACCUUGUCCUGGUAGCUCAGUCAUUAUUGAUCAUUAUACAGUAAAUGGGAAAAUCAGAUUCAGGAGAUUUUUCUUUGCCAGAAACCUUGUAUAGAUGGGUUCCUCAAUGGUUGUAGACCUUACUUGGCAAUAGACAGCACAUUCCUGACAGGCAAGUUCAAAGGGCAAUUGGCUAGUGCUUCUGCAAUUCCUGACACGCACAUAUAUGCUAAGCAUCACCAAUCAAGCAUGGUGUAUACACAAAUGCUUCACGUUCACCACAAUUGUAGGUACCUCCUGCCAGGUUUAUGUCUCCUAAAUACUGAACCUUUGAGCUGUUCAAACAACAAGCCAUGGCCGCGGACCCUCCGUGACACAGGAAGAUAACCUCCUUGUACGGAUGAAAUCCGAGGAAUUCGACAUACCACCAGGAACCCUUCUCUUCAUCGUCCGAAGCGUCGACGGUGCUGCCAUCGUCGACGUCCGAGUUCCAGCAAGCAUCUUGU
Long non-coding RNA from Panicum virgatum (switchgrass), 1925 nucleotides. RefSeq lists it as uncharacterized. NCBI's taxonomy places the organism in Eukaryota, Viridiplantae, Streptophyta, Magnoliopsida, Poales, Poaceae. The transcript is spliced from 3 exons. The record is from RefSeq and is a predicted model, not a curated record.